GCUGUAAGCACCAACGAGUGAUCUCCACUUGGAGGCAGAGGGCUUUGACACUCGACAGUCCAGAGGCCAGACUGAGUGGGAGUUAGGGGAGCUUUAACUUGAUCCUGGUAGGGAGCCGGAUCAGCUGGAAGUGCUGCAGUACAGGUGCCUGGGGUGCCAGGUGGAUACAAUGAGGGGGCCUGAGCUAGUACUGGAAUCAUGAAAAGAUUCCUCCAAGAAGUGUGGUUAGGCCUGAGCUCUGGAUGAGGGAUAGGAAUUGUCUAGGCAAAGGGACAGGGCUGGAGAUAUAUCUGGUAGAGGGGACAGCAUCUGUGAAGGCCUGAAAUGGGGAACCGGAGGUGGAACAAGCCGAUGUGAUUGGGAAGAAAAACUAGGAGCGUGUUCUACGUAAUACACUGAGCUAUUGAAGUGAGAGACUUCGUUAUCUGAUGAAACUUUCAGGGAACCUCCUUCUUUCCCAUGCUGCAAUGUAGGGUUUUACUAUUUAUCUUAGAAGUAAAUUCCAUAUCUGAAGACUUCACUCUGUCAGAGCUACUUUGUUUUAAACUUAAAUUCUCCCUUUUGCAUUUCAGCUUGCAGCAUUGGAAGUCAGAAACUUCAGAGAGGAUGCUGAGCCAAUGGUCACGGGCACUAGACUUCUGGGAGCAUAUGCAGAAAAAAGAAUCACGCUUGGAAUGAAAAAAAGUGGAGGCUGGUCCCCUGUGCCAUCUACACCAACCAAGGCAGCUUCUGACUGAAGUUUCCUCAUCUGCAAAGUGGGGUUGAUCAUAGCAUCUCCUUAAGUGGCGGUGAUGUUGAAAUGAGACAGUGUGUGAGCAAGUGCUUUGCAUGAGGGUGGAAGAGUGAAGUCUGUGCCUUUGUUAUAGAAACAAUUAUUCCCUCGCCUCACUACUUUUCCACUGGCUGUUCUUUUUCCUGUUUUUAGACUAAUAAGUCCCUGGUGCCUUUUAUGGUAAACUGCCUCUCAUCCUCUUCGCAAGCAGAUUGCGCCUGGCUAGUAAAUUUAAUAAAAGUAAUAUGUCUUUGUUUCCUUUGUGGGCACCAAAGCCCUUCUCCCUUUGCUUCACAUAUGCCACCUUUUCCCUCUAUCACCCAUUCCUUUCCUUUGCUUCAUGAAUGUAAAGGCAACUCUAAUUGGUCCUUCUCUCUGCCUUCCCAGCUUGUUGUCUCAGCUGGUGCCUGCUCUGAACCUUCCAUUGAAAGAAGCCUAAAAUGAAAAGUGGGACCCCAGGCCCCAUCCCCCAAAGCAACCACUGUUACCCAUUUCCUGUGCCUUUUCAGAAAUAGACUACGACCAUGGACACAUAUGUGUAGAUUGUAGCCUACAUUUUCCUACAAAUUGGGGCCAUUACAUAUGGUGUUCCGAACCUGGCUUUUAAAAUUUCACAAUCUAUUGUUGAGGUCAUUUUGUGUCAGUACACAUAGAGUUCCUUUAUUCUUUAUUUUUGGAUGAGUAAUAGGAUGUGAUGUGGGACUUUUCCACUUGUUCUGGAAUUACAGCCAAGGGUCGAUGAUGUAAACAAAAGAUGCUAGGUGUUCCUGCAUUCUACAGAGAGCCCUGACCAGAGGCCGCCGUCGCCUCUGCAAAUAACUUAAGAGGACUUGGAAACCUUCCUUAUGCAUCAACCACCCAGGCAGGUUUCUGUGGGGAGCACACUAGGCCUGGGAGGAGGUGGAAAAUCAGCCUUGGGGACUUCUGUCUGCCUGGGGAGACGUGACUUCCUUUCCUCCCAAAAAGCUUCCUGUCAUGUAGGUGGAUGGGAAAGGGAUCCUGGAGAGUCACUUGUGGAGCUUGCUAGAAGGGGAGACAACGGGCCUUCAGCCUGAUGCUCGCUGAGCCGCGGAAUCGAGGGUCCAUAUGAGGGCACGCCAUGGAAGAAGGGCAUUGAGACAGCCAAGAGGAAGCUUGUG
Molecule: long non-coding RNA, 1911 nt
Filed under: Homo sapiens (human)
Lineage: Eukaryota; Metazoa; Chordata; Mammalia; Primates; Hominidae
Description: HSALNT0251857
Source: RNAcentral